Molecule: ribosomal RNA, 521 nt
Filed under: uncultured bacterium
Lineage: Bacteria
Description: bacterial SSU rRNA
Rfam family: Bacterial small subunit ribosomal RNA
Source: RNAcentral
AAUGGGCGGAAGCCUGAUCCAGCCAUGCCGCGUGUGUGAAGAAGGCCUUUUGGUUGUAAAGCACUUUAAGCGAGGAGGAGGCUACUAGUACUAAUACUACUGGAUAGUGGACGUUACUCGCAGAAUAAGCACCGGCUAACUCUGUGCCAGCAGCCGCGGUAAUACAGAGGGUGCGAGCGUUAAUCGGAUUUACUGGGCGUAAAGCGUGCGUAGGCGGCUGAUUAAGUCGGAUGUGAAAUCCCUGAGCUUAACUUAGGAAUUGCAUUCGAUACUGGUCAGCUAGAGUAUGGGGGAGGAUGGUAGAAUUCCAGGUGUAGCGGUGAAAUGCGUAGAGAUCUGGAGGAAUACCGAUGGCGAAGGCAGCCAUCUGGCCUAAUACUGACGCUGAGGUACGAAAGCAUGGGGAGCAAACAGGAUUAGAUACCCUGGUAGUCCAUGCCGUAAACGAUGUCUACUAGCCGUUGGGGCCUUUGAGGCUUUAGUGGCGCAGCUAACGCGAUAAGUAGACCGCCUGGGGAGUA